AUGGAGCUUAUUGUGAACCUGUUUUUGAUAAUAAUGUCUCUGCAUGGCGUUCUGUGCCAAACCUUUAUCCAGUCUGAAGCUGUGGUUAAAAGACCUGGAGAUGCUCAUAAACUGAUCUGUACAGCAUCUGGAUUAACAUUCAGUGGCUACUGGAUGGCUGUGGUCAGACAGGCUCCUGGAAAAGGCAUGGAAUGGGUUGCUACCAUUGGAUAUGGUACUCAGAUGUACUAUUCCCAGUCAGUCCAGGGAAGAUUCAUAAUCUCCAGAUCUGACUCCAGCGGUCAGCUGCACUUAGAGAUGUACAGCCUGAAGAGUGAAGACACUGCUGUGUAUUACUGUGCAAGAGAGUCACAGUGA
This is a non-coding RNA of Colossoma macropomum (tambaqui), 357 nucleotides long. The record is from the annotation of a RefSeq genome assembly. NCBI's taxonomy places the organism in Eukaryota, Metazoa, Chordata, Actinopteri, Characiformes, Serrasalmidae.